Molecule: ribosomal RNA, 2886 nt
Filed under: Aeromonas hydrophila
Lineage: Bacteria; Pseudomonadati; Pseudomonadota; Gammaproteobacteria; Aeromonadales; Aeromonadaceae
Description: 23S ribosomal RNA
Rfam family: Bacterial large subunit ribosomal RNA
Source: RNAcentral
UUAAGUGACUAAGCGUACAUGGUGGAUGCCUUGGCAGUCAGAGGCGAUGAAGGACGUACUAACCUGCGAUAAGCCGUGAGCAGUCGGUAAGAGACAUUACGACUCACGGAUUUCCGAAUGGGGAAACCCACUUAGCAUAAGCUAGGUAUCGCUGCGUGAAUACAUAGCGUAGCGAGGCGAACCGGGAGAACUGAAACAUCUAAGUACCCCGAGGAAAAGAAAUCAACCGAGAUUCCCUCAGUAGCGGCGAGCGAACGGGGAUUAGCCCUUAAGCAUCUUGGAAGUUAGUGGAACGGUCCUGGAAAGGCCGGCGAUACAGGGUGAUAGCCCCGUACACGAAAACAACCUUGAUGUGAAAUCGAGUAGGGCGGGACACGUGACAUCCUGUCUGAAUAUGGGGGGACCAUCCUCCAAGGCUAAAUACUCCUGACUGACCGAUAGUGAACCAGUACCGUGAGGGAAAGGCGAAAAGAACCCCUGUGAGGGGAGUGAAAUAGAACCUGAAACCGUGUACGUACAAGCAGUGGGAGCCCUUCGGGGUGACUGCGUACCUUUUGUAUAAUGGGUCAGCGACUUACAUUUUGUAGCGAGGUUAACCGUAUAGGGGAGCCGUAGGGAAACCGAGUCUUAACUGGGCGUCUAGUUGCAAGGUGUAGACCCGAAACCGGGUGAUCUAGCCAUGGGCAGGUUGAAGGUUGAGUAACAUCAACUGGAGGACCGAACCCACUAACGUUGCAAAGUUAGGGGAUGACCUGUGGCUGGGGGUGAAAGGCCAAUCAAACUCGGAGAUAGCUGGUUCUCCCCGAAAGCUAUUUAGGUAGCGCCUCGGACGAAUACUACUGGGGGUAGAGCACUGUUUGGGCUAGGGGGUCAUCCCGACUUACCAACCCCAUGCAAACUCCGAAUACCAGUAAGUAAUAUCCGGGAGACACACGGCGGGUGCUAACGUCCGUCGUGAAGAGGGAAACAACCCAGACCGCCGGCUAAGGUCCCAAAGUUCUGGUUAAGUGGGAAACGAUGUGGGAAGGCUCAGACAGCUAGGAUGUUGGCUUAGAAGCAGCCAUCAUUUAAAGAAAGCGUAAUAGCUCACUAGUCGAGUCGGCCUGCGCGGAAGAUGUAACGGGGCUCAAACCAGGCACCGAAGCCGCGGAUUCACGCUAAGCGUGAGUGGUAGGGGAGCGUUCUGUAAGUCUGCGAAGGUGUGUCGAGAGGCAUGCUGGAGAUAUCAGAAGUGCGAAUGCUGACGUAAGUAACGAUAAAGGGGGUGAAAAGCCUCCUCGCCGGAAGACCAAGGGUUCCUGUCCAACGUUAAUCGGGGCAGGGUGAGUCGACCCCUAAGGCGAGGCCGAAAGGCGUAGUCGAUGGGAAGCAGGUUAAUAUUCCUGCACGACUUGUAAUUGCGAUGGGGGGACGGAGAAGGCUAGGUGGGCCAGGCGACGGUUGUCCUGGUGAAAGUGCGUAGGUGGUGUUUCUAGGCAAAUCCGGAGACACAACACUGAGACACGAGACGAACACACUACGGUGUGGAAGCCAUUGAUGCCCUGCUUCCAGGAAAAGCCUCUAAGCUUCAGAUUACAAGUCAUCGUACCCCAAACCGACACAGGUGGUCGGGUAGAGAAUACCAAGGCGCUUGAGAGAACUCGGGUGAAGGAACUAGGCAAAAUAGAACCGUAACUUCGGGAGAAGGUUCGCUCUUGACAGUGAAGUCCCUUGCGGAUGGAGCAGUUGGGAGUCGCAGUGACCAGAUGGCUGGGACUGUUUAUCAAAAACACAGCACUCUGCAAACACGAAAGUGGACGUAUAGGGUGUGACACCUGCCCGGUGCCGGAAGGUUAAUUGAUGGGGUUAGCGCAAGCGAAGCUCUUGAUCGAAGCCCCGGUAAACGGCGGCCGUAACUAUAACGGUCCUAAGGUAGCGAAAUUCCUUGUCGGGUAAGUUCCGACCUGCACGAAUGGUGUAACCAUGGCCAUGCUGUCUCCACCCGAGACUCAGUGAAAUCGAAUUCGCCGUGAAGAUGCGGUGUACCCGCGGCUAGACGGAAAGACCCCGUGAACCUUUACUACAGCUUGGCACUGAACAUUGAACCUACAUGUGUAGGAUAGGUGGGAGGCUUUGAAGGCGUGACGCCAGUUGCGCUGGAGCCGUCCUUGAAAUACCACCCUUGUAUGUUUGAUGUUCUAACGCAGGCCCGUGAAUCCGGGUCGCGGACAGUGCCUGGUGGGUAGUUUGACUGGGGCGGUCUCCUCCCAAAGAGUAACGGAGGAGCACGAAGGUUGGCUAAUCCUGGUCGGACAUCAGGAGGUUAGUGCAAUGGCAUAAGCCAGCUUAACUGCGAGACGGACAGGUCGAGCAGGUACGAAAGUAGGUCAUAGUGAUCCGGUGGUUCUGAAUGGAAGGGCCAUCGCUCAACGGAUAAAAGGUACUCCGGGGAUAACAGGCUGAUACCGCCCAAGAGUUCAUAUCGACGGCGGUGUUUGGCACCUCGAUGUCGGCUCAUCACAUCCUGGGGCUGAAGUCGGUCCCAAGGGUAUGGCUGUUCGCCAUUUAAAGUGGUACGCGAGCUGGGUUCAGAACGUCGUGAGACAGUUCGGUCCCUAUCUGCCGUGGGCGUUGGAUGAUUGAAGGGAGUUGCUCCUAGUACGAGAGGACCGGAGUGAACGAACCUCUGGUGUUCGGGUUGUCACGCCAGUGGCACUGCCCGGUAGCUAAGUUCGGAAUCGAUAACCGCUGAAAGCAUCUAAGCGGGAAGCGAGCCCUGAGAUGAGUCAUCCCUGACCCCUUGAGGGUCCUAAAGGGCCGUUGGAGACCACAACGUUGAUAGGUGGGGUGUGUAAGCGCGGUGACGUGUUGAGCUAACCCAUACUAAUUACCCGUGAGGCUUAACCA